Molecule: transfer RNA, 71 nt
Filed under: Camelus bactrianus (Bactrian camel)
Lineage: Eukaryota; Metazoa; Chordata; Mammalia; Artiodactyla; Camelidae
Also listed under: 2 other names
Rfam family: tRNA
About the family: Transfer RNA (tRNA) molecules are approximately 80 nucleotides in length. Their secondary structure includes four short double-helical elements and three loops (D, anti-codon, and T loops).
Source: Rfam by way of RNAcentral
GGAUGUAGCUCAAGUGGUAGAGCGCAUGCUUAGCAUGCACAAGGCCCUGGGUUCAAUUCCCAGUACUUCCU